Molecule: ribosomal RNA, 301 nt
Filed under: uncultured bacterium
Lineage: Bacteria
Description: partial 16S ribosomal RNA
Rfam family: Bacterial small subunit ribosomal RNA
Source: RNAcentral
CAGUAGCCGCGGGAAUACGAAGGGUGCAAGCGUUAUCCGGAUUCACUGGGUUUAAAGGGUGCGUAGGCGGGCAGGUAAGUCAGUGGUGAAAUCUUCGAGCUUAACUCGGAAACUGCCGUUGAUACUAUCUGUCCUGGAUAACGUUGAGGUGAGCGGAAUAUGUCAUGUAGCGGUGAAAUGCGUAGAGAUCGGGAGGAACAUCAGUGGCGAAGGCGGCCAUCUGGGACAACACUGACGCUGAGGCACGAAAGCGUGGGGAGCAAACAGGAUUAGAUACCCCAGUAGUCCCUGUCUCUUAUAC